CGGCAGGCCUAACACAUGCAAGUCGAGCGGUAGAGAGAAGCUUGCUUCUCUUGAGAGCGGCGGACGGGUGAGUAAUGCCUAGGAAUCUGCCUGGUAGUGGGGGAUAACGCUCGGAAACGGACGCUAAUACCGCAUACGUCCUACGGGAGAAAGCAGGGGACCUUCGGGCCUUGCGCUAUCAGAUGAGCCUAGGUCGGAUUAGCUAGUUGGUGAGGUAAUGGCUCACCAAGGCGACGAUCCGUAACUGGUCUGAGAGGAUGAUCAGUCACACUGGAACUGAGACACGGUCCAGACUCCUACGGGAGGCACCAGUGGGGAAUAUUGGACAAUGGGCGAAAGCCUGAUCCAGCCAUGCCGCGUGUGUGAAGAAGGUCUUCGGAUUGUAAAGCACUUUAAGUUGGGAGGAAGGGCAUUAACCUAAUACGUUGGUGUCUUGGCGUUACCGACAGAAUAAGCACCGGCUAACUCUGUGCCAGCAGCCGCGGUAAUACAGAGGGUGCAAGCGUUAAUCGGAAUUACUGGGCGUAAAGCGCGCGUAGGUGGUUCGUUAAGUUGGAUGUGAAAUCCCCGGGCUCAACCUGGGAACUGCAUUCAAAACUGUCGAGCUAGAGUAUGGUAGAGGGUGGUGGAAUUUCCUGUGUAGCGGUGAAAUGCGUAGAUAUAGGAAGGAACACCAGUGGCGAAGGCGACCACCUGGACUGAUACUGACACUGAGGUGCGAAAGCGUGGGGAGCAAACAGGAUUAGAUACCCUGGUAGUCCACGCCGUAAACGAUGUCAACUAGCCGUUGGGAGCCUUGAGCUCUUAGUGGCGCAGCUAACGCAUUAAGUUGACCGCCUGGGGAGU
RNAcentral lists this ribosomal RNA (846 nucleotides) under uncultured bacterium. RNAcentral's name for it is "bacterial SSU rRNA". It matches the Rfam family "Bacterial small subunit ribosomal RNA", at positions 40 to 881 of the family's 1533-position model. The record is from RNAcentral.